CCCAUAAAGCUAGAAACAACUUAGUGUCCCAAUCUGUUCUCGCUCCUGAAACUAUUUUCGUUAAGAUUUUACAUAAAAUUCCAUUAAUCUUUUCCGUUUGUCUAUUGGCUCUAGGGUGAUACCAUCUAGUCUUACGAUGUUUUAUCUCGUAUUUAGCCGUAAGUGCUUCGAUUGUACUAUUUAUAAAAUGAAUUCCUCGAUCACUAACCAAUUCUCAUGGACAUGUCAUGGAUACAAAAUACAGACUUGAAAUCUAACAAGAAGUUCAAGAAGAAGUGGCAAAACUAGAUUAAAUAGAUGAGUACAAGAACAACACCAGAAAGGUGAGCUAGAACUCCAAGAG
RNAcentral lists this long non-coding RNA (343 nucleotides) under Physcomitrium patens. RNAcentral's name for it is "long non-coding RNA (PPAT_LNC000159)". Lineage: Eukaryota; Viridiplantae; Streptophyta; Bryopsida; Funariales; Funariaceae. The record is from RNAcentral.